This 301-nucleotide ribosomal RNA is filed under the name uncultured bacterium. RNAcentral describes it as "partial 16S ribosomal RNA". It matches the Rfam family "Bacterial small subunit ribosomal RNA", at positions 509 to 807 of the family's 1533-position model. The record is from RNAcentral.
CAGUAGCCGCGGUAAUACGAAGGGGGCUAGCGUUGCUCGGAAUGACUGGGCGUAAAGGGCGCGUAGGCGGCGAUCAAAGUCAGGCGUGAAAUUCCUGGGCUCAACCUGGGGGCUGCGCUUGAUACUUGGUUGCUUGAGUGGGGAAGAGGGUCGUGGAAUUCCCAGUGUAGAGUUGAAAUUCGUAGAUAUUGGGAAGAACACCGGUGGCGAAGGCGGCGACCUGGUCCUUGACUGACGCUGAGGCGCGAAAGCGUGGGGAGCAAACAGGAUUAGAUACCCCCGUAGUCCCUGUCUCUUAUAC